GCCGACUUUGUUUCUUCGCCGGAGAGUUGACUUUUUCCAAGUGUCUGAUCGCUAAAUACAUCCAAUACUUGAUCAGCCGGUAAGUUCAGGUCAAACCCGUGAUUAUUACUACCGUUACCGUUACUGUUACUGUUACCGUUACCACCUUCGUAAUGACACCGUUUGUGACCGCCCAAUGCUUGACCAGAAGGAAACGACUUGAAACAGAUAGAGCACUUAUGAGUCUUCCCACUUUGACCAACUAAACCGUUACUAAUAUUUCCGUUAUUAAUAACGGAACCGUUACUGUUGUUAUUACCCUCGUCGUUGCUGUUAUUAUUAUUACUAACCGGUUUCCGGUGACUGGUUUUGUGUCCACCUAACGCUUGGUAAGACGGGAAAGAUUUUCCACAGACGGAGCACUUGUAGUCUCGGUGGUGAUGAUCGGACGGUGGAGGAAGAGGAGGAGAGUGAUGAUGAUGAUCAUCAUCGGAGGAGCCACGAGCGAGCAUAAGGAGACAUAGAGCAAGAUACUCUUCUUC
This 521-nucleotide long non-coding RNA is filed under the name Eutrema salsugineum. RNAcentral describes it as "long non-coding RNA (ESAL_LNC001390)". Lineage: Eukaryota; Viridiplantae; Streptophyta; Magnoliopsida; Brassicales; Brassicaceae. The record is from RNAcentral.